GGAUGUGAGGGUGAUCUGGCUGCGACAUCUGUUACCCCCGUUGAUUGCCAGGGUUGAUUCGGCUGAUCUGGCUAGCUAGGCAGGUUUUCCCGUCCUCCCUCACUGCUCCUUGUGCAUCCCUCCCGAAGCUGCGCGCUCAAUCAAAGAGGAAGGCUUUCCAAGGAAUAGAGACGAACUGGUGUUUGGUCGAGGGUAUACGAGUAGCUGUGCUCCCCUGCUAGAAUCUCCAAACAAGCUCUCAAAGAUAGUUCCUGUGUCUGUCAGUUGAGUCCAGAUACUAACACUGCUGUAAUUGUGCAUUUGUUU
Unclassified non-coding RNA from Erinaceus europaeus (western European hedgehog), 306 nucleotides. Its record names the gene 7SK. It matches the Rfam family "7SK RNA". From Rfam's summary of the family: 7SK was discovered as an abundant small nuclear RNA in the mid-70s but a possible function has only recently been suggested. Two independent studies have found that 7SK RNA binds the CDK9/cyclin T complex (known as elongation factor P-TEFb). Lineage: Eukaryota; Metazoa; Chordata; Mammalia; Eulipotyphla; Erinaceidae. The record is from Ensembl.